This 708-nucleotide ribosomal RNA is filed under the name uncultured bacterium. RNAcentral's name for it is "bacterial SSU rRNA". It matches the Rfam family "Bacterial small subunit ribosomal RNA", at positions 94 to 799 of the family's 1533-position model. The record is from RNAcentral.
AGUGGCGGACGGGUGAGUAACGCGUAGGAAUCUACCUGAUAGUGGGGGAUAGCCCGAAGAAAUUCGGAUUAAUACCGCAUAAUCUAUUCGUAGUAAAGUGGGGGACUUUCGAGCCUCACGCUAUCAGAUGAGCCUGCGUAAGAUUAGCUAGUUGGUAGGGUAAAAGCCUACCAAGGCGACGAUCUUUAGCUGGUCUGAGAGGAUGAUCAGCCACAUCGGGACUGAGACACGGCCCGAACUCCUACGGGAGGCAGCAGUGGGGAAUAUUGGACAAUGGGGGCAACCCUGAUCCAGCAAUACCGCGUGUGUGAAGAAGGCCUGAGGGUUGUAAAGCACUUUCAAUUGUGAAGAAAAGCUAGUGGUUAAUAGCCAUUAGCCUUGACGUUAACUUUAGAAGAAGCACCGGCUAACUCCGUGCCAGCAGCCGCGGUAAUACGGAGGGUGCAAGCGUUAAUCGGAAUUACUGGGCGUAAAGCGUGCGUAGGCGGUUUAUUAAGUCAGAUGUGAAAGCCCCGGGCUUAACCUGGGAACUGCAUUUGAAACUGGUCAACUAGAGUAUGGUAGAGGAAAGUGGAAUUUCUGGUGUAGCGGUGAAAUGCGUAGAUAUCAGAAGGACAUCAAUGGGCGAAGGCAACUUUUCUGACAUUACUGACGCUGAAGUACGAAAGCGUGGGUAGCAAACAGGAUUAGAUACCCUUGUAGUUCGCG